This 396-nucleotide long non-coding RNA is filed under the name Mytilus galloprovincialis (Mediterranean mussel). Lineage: Eukaryota; Metazoa; Mollusca; Bivalvia; Mytilida; Mytilidae. The record is from RNAcentral.
GGUCUGGAGCUGGCAUGUCAGUUACUGCUAGUAGUUCUUUGUUAAUUUAUGAAUCAUAUUCGUUUUGUGUAGUUUCUUUUGUUUACUAUUUUGUCAUCGGACUCGGAUUUCUUUUAAACUGAGUUUCUCUGUGCAUAUUGUUGUGUGUUUGUUUAUUCUACAUGAGCUAGAUAUAAUUGUAUAGCGGGAGGGUUGAGAUCUAACAAAGCAUGUUUAGCCCCGCCGUAUUUUUGCGCCUGUCCCAAGACAGUAGACUCUGAUCUUUGUUAGUUUUUUUAUGUUUUUUUUUGUCUAAGUUAAGUGUGACGUCCAUUUUCACAUUACUAGUAUAUAUUUUUAUUUAGAGACCAGCUGAAGCCCGGAUUUUCUCGUUGUGUUGAAGACUCAUUGGUGGCC